UGUUGGUGACUGCCUACCUCC
Molecule: non-coding RNA, 21 nt
Filed under: Arabidopsis thaliana (thale cress)
Lineage: Eukaryota; Viridiplantae; Streptophyta; Magnoliopsida; Brassicales; Brassicaceae
Source: RNAcentral